This 299-nucleotide small nuclear RNA is filed under the name Marmota marmota marmota (Alpine marmot). RNAcentral's name for it is "7SK RNA (ENSMMMG00000020563.1)". It matches the Rfam family "7SK RNA". From Rfam's summary of the family: 7SK was discovered as an abundant small nuclear RNA in the mid-70s but a possible function has only recently been suggested. Two independent studies have found that 7SK RNA binds the CDK9/cyclin T complex (known as elongation factor P-TEFb). The record is from Rfam by way of RNAcentral. Lineage: Eukaryota; Metazoa; Chordata; Mammalia; Rodentia; Sciuridae. RNAcentral also lists the same sequence under 1 other name.
AGAUGUAAGGGCAAUCUGGAUUUAACAUCUGUCAUCCCAUUGAUGACCAGGGUUGAUUGGGCAGACCUGGCUGGCUAGAUAGGUGUCCCUCUCCCAUUCCUUGGGCAUCCCUCCCAAAGCUGCACACCCAGUCACAGAGGACAACCUGCAAUAGCUGAGGACCCUUCUUCAAUCAAGGGUAUAUGAGUAACUGUGUUAGAACCUCCAGACAAGCUCUCAAGAAUGCUUGUUUUUAUAUCAUUUGUAAUAGUGAAAGGACAGUAAAAAGGUAAAUAUUCAUCAAUAGCAUUACAGCAUAU